This is a long non-coding RNA of Leopardus geoffroyi (Geoffroy's cat), 440 nucleotides long. RefSeq lists it as uncharacterized. The transcript is spliced from 2 exons. The record is from RefSeq and is a predicted model, not a curated record. NCBI's taxonomy places the organism in Eukaryota, Metazoa, Chordata, Mammalia, Carnivora, Felidae.
CGGGGGGGAGGGGCGGAGGGGCGCCCCGCAGAGGCUGGGGGGUGGCCCUGUCAAGCAGCCGGCCCACCGCCCCCCGCCGGCCGCCAACGCACCCGGGCCGCUGAGGGCUCUCUCGGACCCGCCGCGGCACCAGCCUGCCUGGGUCUCUCGAAUUUUCCACCAGGGGAAGCCGGCCGGGGGCGUCGGGGCUCGCCCCCGCCCCUGAAAGCGGCGAGCGGAGGAGGUGCAUAGGGGAAGCAAAGGCAGGAAGAUGAAGUGUCCAUGAGACAAAGCAAUUCACCCUGGGGAUGUGUGGAAGAAGUUGCCAACCCAAGAAGGGAACCAAGGAGGUUGGAAUUGGAGCCCUUUGUGUUUACAACUUAAGGAGAGACUCAUUCCAGGGCACCUAGCUGGCUCAGUUGGUGGAGCAUGCAACUCUUGAUCUCGGGGGGUUGUCAGUU